Long non-coding RNA from Neogale vison (American mink), 157 nucleotides. RefSeq lists it as uncharacterized. The record is from RefSeq and is a predicted model, not a curated record. The transcript has 3 exons. NCBI's taxonomy places the organism in Eukaryota, Metazoa, Chordata, Mammalia, Carnivora, Mustelidae.
CAUACUUCCACCCCUGUGACAAAGGGCCACGUGGGAAGGAAUGAAGUCAGCAUUUUUCCACCCUAGUGAGUUUGGAGCCCUGAGUGUUCUCUUAAGAUGUCUUAACAUCUCUGAGAACAUUCCUAGUGAAGAACAAUCUCUUCUCCUCAGACGUUUU